CGGGAGGAUUUAACGGAGCUUGACUCGGGUUUUGAUAAUUCGGAAAAGAAUUGGGAUUGGGCCUAGGAAAAUUAGGUUGUGGAGUUUGAAAGUUUUGACCUUGGUUCCACGAGAAAUUCGGGUGAUUCUUCCACCCGGGGUUGUACGUUGGUGCAAACGGGUCAUUUCUAGGCUUAGGUUGAAACAUCGCGUUCACUUGCUCAAAAUCAUGAGAUUGUUGGAUCUCGGGAUGGGAAGCAUUAUAGUUCGGGAACAUAGGCAUAGAUGAGGGGCCACUAUGAGACUCUAAAGCUUCGAGUCUCUUAGUAAGGGUUGCUAAUUUGGCAUCGGUUGCCACAUUGUUUCCUAUCGAGUGCAAACCCCUAGAGCUAGACGCCUCGAUCGACUUUUUAGGUUCC
Molecule: long non-coding RNA, 398 nt
Filed under: Daucus carota (carrot)
Lineage: Eukaryota; Viridiplantae; Streptophyta; Magnoliopsida; Apiales; Apiaceae
Description: long non-coding RNA (DCAR_LNC007449)
Source: RNAcentral